GAUGUUAGCGGCGGACGGGUGAGUAACACGUGGGUAACCUGCCUGUAAGACUGGGAUAACUCCGGGAAACCGGGGCUAAUACCGGAUGGUUGUUUGAACCGCAUGGUUCAAACAUAAAAGGUGGCUUCGGCUACCACUUACAGAUGGACCCGCGGCGCAUUAGCUAGUUGGUGAGGUAACGGCUCACCAAGGCAACGAUGCGUAGCCGACCUGAGAGGGUGAUCGGCCACACUGGGACUGAGACACGGCCCAGACUCCUACGGGAGGCAGCAGUAGGGAAUCUUCCGCAAUGGACGAAAGUCUGACGGAGCAACGCCGCGUGAGUGAUGAAGGUUUUCGGAUCGUAAAGCUCUGUUGUUAGGGAAGAACAAGUACCGUUCGAAUAGGGCGGUACCUUGACGGUACCUAACCAGAAAGCCACGGCUAACUACGUGCCAGCAGCCGCGGUAAUACGUAGGUGGCAAGCGUUGUCCGGAAUUAUUGGGCGUAAAGGGCUCGCAGGCGGUUUCUUAAGUCUGAUGUGAAAGCCCCCGGCUCAACCGGGGAGGGUCAUUGGAAACUGGGGAACUUGAGUGCAGAAGAGGAGAGUGGAAUUCCACGUGUAGCGGUGAAAUGCGUAGAGAUGUGGAGGAACACC
This 637-nucleotide ribosomal RNA is filed under the name Bacillus tequilensis. RNAcentral's name for it is "bacterial SSU rRNA". It matches the Rfam family "Bacterial small subunit ribosomal RNA", at positions 88 to 710 of the family's 1533-position model. The record is from RNAcentral. Lineage: Bacteria; Bacillati; Bacillota; Bacilli; Caryophanales; Bacillaceae.